UACGGAGGGUGCAAGCGUUAUCCGGAUUCACUGGGUUUAAAGGGUGCGUAGGCGGGCCGGUAAGUCCGUGGUGAAAUCUCUGAGCUUAACUCAGAAACUGCCAUGGAUACUAUUUGUCUUGAAUAUUGUGGAGGUAAGCGGAAUAUGUCAUGUAGCGGUGAAAUGCUUAGAUAUGACAUAGAACACCAAUGGCGAAGGCAGCUUACUACACAGUUAUUGACGCUGAGGAGCGAAAGCAUGGGGAGCGAACAGG
This 253-nucleotide ribosomal RNA is filed under the name uncultured bacterium. RNAcentral describes it as "partial 16S ribosomal RNA". It matches the Rfam family "Bacterial small subunit ribosomal RNA", at positions 524 to 776 of the family's 1533-position model. The record is from RNAcentral.